UCCCCGGUGGUGUAAUCGGUAACACACGGGGUUUUGGUCCCCGUUUUGGAGGUUCGAGUCCUCCCCGGGGAA
Molecule: transfer RNA, 72 nt
Filed under: Planctomycetota bacterium
Lineage: Bacteria; Pseudomonadati; Planctomycetota
Description: Planctomycetes bacterium (groundwater metagenome) tRNA-Gln
Rfam family: tRNA
About the family: Transfer RNA (tRNA) molecules are approximately 80 nucleotides in length. Their secondary structure includes four short double-helical elements and three loops (D, anti-codon, and T loops). Further hydrogen bonds mediate the characteristic L-shaped molecular structure. tRNAs have two regions of fundamental functional importance: the anti-codon, which is responsible for specific mRNA codon recognition, and the 3' end, to which the tRNAs corresponding amino acid is attached (by aminoacyl-tRNA synthetases). tRNAs cope with the degeneracy of the genetic code in two manners: having more than one tRNA (with a specific anti-codon) for a particular amino acid; and 'wobble' base-pairing, i.e. permitting non-standard base-pairing at the 3rd anti-codon position.
Source: RNAcentral